AUGGACAAGCUGUGCGCGGACGCGCUCGCCGACAUCCUCCGCCACCUCCCGCCACGCAACCUCGCCGCCUCCCGCUGCGUCUGCACGGCGUGGCGCGCUGUCGUCGACGGCCACCGCCUGCUGCGCGCGGACCUGCUCCCGCUCUCGCUUGACGCCGUCAUCUUCACGACGGGCGACCCAAGCGACCCACUCCUCUUCUGCCGCCCCACCACGGGGCGCAGCAUCAUCACCAGGUUUGACUACAUCGACGCCGACAUGGAGCCGUGGUACGUGUGGUCUCCCUUGGACUGCUGCAACGGCUUGCUCCUUUUUGAUGACCACGUGGUCAACCCCGCGACGCGGCAGUCCGUGCGGUUCCCCACGUACCCGCCGCCGUGCGCGGUGCCGGGCUGCCCAAGCUGUAAAGACAUCGAGCGUAACCAGUACCUCGUCUAUGAUCCUACCGUGUCGUCGCACUACGGGGUGGUCUUGAUCCCUCAUAUUCCCCGCGAGCUUUCCAUAGGGCACAUCACAAAACAUGCAUGCGGUCAUGGAGCCGACAUCUUGGCAAUGGAGUGGCCACCGUCGCCAUUCAUUAUCGACGUCUUCUCUCAAAAACCGGAUGCUGGAAGGAAAAGCCAUACACGCGAGAAGGAGAAGCCGCGGGAACCGUUGCUGACCUGA
Molecule: ribosomal RNA, 663 nt
Filed under: Triticum aestivum (bread wheat)
Lineage: Eukaryota; Viridiplantae; Streptophyta; Magnoliopsida; Poales; Poaceae
Description: partial small subunit ribosomal RNA
Source: RNAcentral